Molecule: long non-coding RNA, 2066 nt
Organism: Gossypium arboreum
Lineage: Eukaryota; Viridiplantae; Streptophyta; Magnoliopsida; Malvales; Malvaceae
Exons: 4
Source: RefSeq, a predicted model, not a curated record
AUCUAACAACUACACUUAAAUCGUAAACCUAAAUUUUAAAAUUCCAAAACCUAAGGGUCUAUUUGUUUGGAAAUAGAACAUUUUCUGGAAAAGCUUUUCAGCCUUUUCCAUUGUUUGUUUGGCUGAAAAUAUUUUCCCAAGAGAAAAUCAAUUACAAAAUAUGGGAAAAGAACCCCUUAAUCUUGGAAAAUGUCUUACCGUUUCUAAUUCGGUAAGACAUUUUCAGGAAAAUUAGAAGCCAACACCGAUUUUCUGCUUCCCCUUCCCCUUCCCCCAUCUUUGACACCUGAUCUUCUGCUUGCCGUCAGCCAACACUGAUUCUCAAAACCAGACACCGGCGUUCAUCAAAGCUUUUACCCAUUUUCACCUUUCGUUGUCAAAAUCUGCACUGGCAUUCAUCUUCUUCUCUCGAAGAUUCGAUCAUAGUGCUUAUUGUUACUUUAAAAUUUAUUUACUGAAAGCAUUUGUGGAUUGCAACGGAUGGGUGCACUUUGUGAAUAUAAGAUAUUGUGUCUAGUUAAAAGCUGAUCUUUGUGCAUUUGAAUCAAGUGCUUACCAUACUCUUCAUUCCAUGAAGCUUAUGGUAAUGAUUGAGCUAAAAGUCGCUCGAGCCACUUUAAAUCCCCAGGCUGUUUAUCUUAUGGUGGCAACUCAUUUAAUUCCUAUGAUGGUCAUAAUCGAAACAUGGGAGCUUAUAGAACUGAGGGAUGGGAUACUGAGAGACGGGGAUCUGAUUUGCAAUCUGGCAAUCAGUUUGAAUACCAUGCCUUCCCUCAAACGUUAGAUGAGUUGGAGUUGGAAUUUAAGAUAGAGGCAAUGGAACUUGGAAGAAUUCGUGAUAAGGAAGAAGAUGAAGAGAAUUAUAAGCAUCGAAAGGAUAGGGGAGAGGUGUUCCACCUAUGUGGCUUACAAAGGAGAUCGGCAUAUUGAAUUUCAAAGCUCCACUGGGCAACAAGUUGAAAGGGAAGACAUUUAUAUCCACUGUUUACAGCUUAACUUCAAUAUGAUAUGGAAAGAGAGAUACAACAUAUUGGUCAACCAAGCCUAGCUACUCUACCACACUCGAAGUGGUUGGUAGCUUAAAGGAGGUAGUAAGUGGGGACUUGCAAGGGUAAUGAAUAUCGUUGCUGAUCAAGUAAACACAAAGCUCCAUGCAACAUGGGUAGUGUGCAGUCCUAUUAUCUAUACAUGCACAGCUUCAUAUGUAGCAAAUUUUUUCUUCUUUAACAUAUGAAUUCAAUAUAUCCAAACAAAAAUGUGCAAGUUCAAAUCAAUUAGAUUGUUACUAAUCAAUUAGAUAGCAUAUCUACUAUUUGAGAGCGCUUUUUUUUUCCUAUUUUUUAUUUGUUACAUUAGUCUAGUGUACGAUGAAAUGAAUACGAGACAUAUAUAUACACAAAAUAUGAUUAUCAUACAUGUAAUUAUCAAGUAAAUAUUGAUAUAUAUUGGACAGGAUAUUAAUAUUCAAUAUUUGAGUAACAUCGAAAAAAAAAGAUACCUGUUUCUAAUAUUUCUAGUUAUUUAAUAAGAGAAAAAUGAAGAAGGAAUUUACAAAGUUGAUAGGCUAGAUUCUAGAGCCGUAUGCGACUGAAAAGGGUGAAGUCCCCCUCUUCCGAGCUUGGUGGUGCAGGAAGUUAGGGACAACCCUGACUUGGUGGUUCACAAGAUUUAUGUCCUGGGCCACAUGAGCUAGGUCCACCAUGAAGAGACCAUGAGCCCUUCAUUUCUCCCAUCAAGGUUCCCAAUUUCAUUCCUCGGGCUCUGGUUGAUUGAGCUGCCAUUACAGCAUCAUCAGUCUUGAAGAUGACAAGAAUGCUCAAGACGAAGACAAGAAAAGCAAUAACCUUCACCAAACAUAGCUUUCCACCCAUUGUUUUUGUUAGAAGAUGAUAUAUAUAGAAGCAGUUUGGCUGGUUUUACAUGAUAUAUAUCUGUGUGUGUGGUGUAACGGGUAAGCCAUAAGUGGGCAAUAUAUAUAUAUAUUGUUCACCAAGUCGUAGUAUAUUUUCAGUAUGAACAUAUCACAGAGUUCGAUUUAAUGAGUUUUAUGUGGAGUUCCGUAAUAA